RNAcentral lists this ribosomal RNA (842 nucleotides) under Colletotrichum gloeosporioides. Its description in RNAcentral is "eukaryotic LSU rRNA". It matches the Rfam family "Eukaryotic large subunit ribosomal RNA", at positions 76 to 949 of the family's 3401-position model. Lineage: Eukaryota; Fungi; Ascomycota; Sordariomycetes; Glomerellales; Glomerellaceae. The record is from RNAcentral. RNAcentral also lists the same sequence under 1 other name.
UGCCUCAGUAACGGCGAGUGAAGCGGCAACAGCUCAAAUUUGAAAUCUGGCCCCAGGCCCGAGUUGUAAUUUGCAGAGGAUGCUUUUGGUGCGGUGCCUUCCAAGUUCCCUAGAACGGGACGCCAGAGAGGGUGAGAGCCCCGUACAGUUGGACACCAAGCCUUUGUAAAGCUCCUUCGACGAGUCGAGUAGUUUGGGAAUGCUGCUCAAAAUGGGAGGUAUAUUUCUUCUAAAGCUAAAUACCGGCCAGAGACCGAUAGCGCACAAGUAGAGUGAUCGAAAGAUGAAAAGCACUUUGAAAAGAGGGUUAAACAGCACGUGAAAUUGUUAAAAGGGAAGCGCUUGUGACCAGACUUGCGUCCGGUGAAUCACCCAGCUCUCGCGGCUGGGGCACUUCGCCGGCUCAGGCCAGCAUCAGCUCGCUGUCGGGGACAAAAGCUUCAGGAACGUAGCUCUCUUCGGGGAGUGUUAUAGCCUGUUGCACAAUACCCUUCGGCGGGCUGAGGUACGCGCUCCGCAAGGAUGCUGGCAUAAUGGUCAUCAGCGACCCGUCUUGAAACACGGACCAAGGAGUCAACCUUAUGUGCGAGUGUUCGGGUGUCAAACCCCUACGCGUAAUGAAAGUGAACGCAGGUGAGAGCUUCGGCGCAUCAUCGACCGAUCCUGAUGUUCUCGGAUGGAUUUGAGUAAGAGCAUAUAGGGUUGGACCCGAAAGAAGGUGAACUAUGCGUGUAUAGGGUGAAGCCAGAGGAAACUCUGGUGGAGGCUCGCAGCGGUUCUGACGUGCAAAUCGAUCGUCAAAUAUGCGCAUGGGGGCGAAAGACUAAUCGAACCUUCUAGUA